This 253-nucleotide ribosomal RNA is filed under the name uncultured bacterium. RNAcentral's name for it is "partial 16S ribosomal RNA". It matches the Rfam family "Bacterial small subunit ribosomal RNA", at positions 524 to 776 of the family's 1533-position model. The record is from RNAcentral.
UACGAAGGGGGCUAGCGUUGUUCGGAAUUACUGGGCGUAAAGCGCACGUAGGCGGAUCCUUAAGUCAGGGGUGAAAUCCCGAGGCUCAACCUCGGAACUGCCUUUGAUACUGGGGAUAUCGAGUCCGGGAGAGGUGAGUGGAACUGCGAGUGUAGAGGUGAAAUUCGUAGAUAUUCGCAAGAACACCAGUGGCGAAGGCGGCUCACUGGCCCGGUACUGACGCUCAUGUACGAAAGCGUGGGGAGCAAACAGG